Unclassified non-coding RNA from Callithrix jacchus (white-tufted-ear marmoset), 299 nucleotides. It matches the Rfam family "Metazoan signal recognition particle RNA". From Rfam's summary of the family: The signal recognition particle (SRP) is a universally conserved ribonucleoprotein. The record is from Ensembl. Lineage: Eukaryota; Metazoa; Chordata; Mammalia; Primates; Cebidae.
GCCGGGCGUGGUGGCACGUGCCUGCAGUCCCAGCUACUCCGGAGGCUGAGGUGGGAGGAUCCCUUAAGCCCAGGACUUCUGGGUUGUAGUGCGCUAUGCCGAUCUGGUGUCAGCACUAAGUUUGGCAUCAAUAUGGUGACCUCCCGGGAGCGGGGAACCACCAAGUUGCCUCAGGAGGGGUGAACCGGCCCAGUGGCAAACGGAGAAGGCCAAAACUCCUGUGCUGAUCAGUAAUGGGAUCACGCCUGUGAAUAACCACUGCACUUCAGCCUGGGCAAGAUAGCGAGACCCCGUCUCUG